This 255-nucleotide ribosomal RNA is filed under the name uncultured bacterium. Its description in RNAcentral is "partial 16S ribosomal RNA". It matches the Rfam family "Bacterial small subunit ribosomal RNA", at positions 524 to 776 of the family's 1533-position model. The record is from RNAcentral.
UACGUAGGGUGCAAGCGUUGUCCGGAAUUAUUGGGCGUAAAGAGCUCGUAGGCGGUCUGUCGCGUCUGCUGUGAAAACUCAGGGCUUAACCCUGAGCUUGCAGUGGGUACGGGCAGACUAGAGUGCGGUAGGGGAGACUGGAAUUCCUGGUGUAGCGGUGAAAUGCGCAGAUAUCAGGAGGAACACCGGUGGCGAAGGCGGGUCUCUGGGCCGUAACUGGACGCUGGAGGAGCGAAAGCAUCGGGAGCGAACAGG